This 484-nucleotide ribosomal RNA is filed under the name uncultured bacterium. RNAcentral's name for it is "partial 16S ribosomal RNA". It matches the Rfam family "Bacterial small subunit ribosomal RNA", at positions 30 to 507 of the family's 1533-position model. The record is from RNAcentral.
AUUGAACGCUGGCGGCAGGCCUAACACAUGCAAGUCGAGCGGAUGAAGGGAGCUUGCUCCUGGAUUCAGCUGCGGACGGGUGAGUAAUUCCUAGGAAUCUGCCUGGCAGUGGGGGAUAACGUCCGGACACGGGCGCUAAUACCGCAUACGUCCUGAGGGAGAAAGUGGGGGAUCUUCGGACCUCACGCUAUCAGAUGAGCCUAGGUCGGAUUAGCUAGUUGGUGGGGUAAAGGCCUACCAAGGCGACGAUCCGUAACUGGUCUGAGAGGAUGAUCAGUCACACUGGAACUGAGACACGGUCCAGACUCCUACGGGAGGCAGCAGUGGGGAAUAUUGGACAAUGGGCGAAAGCCUGAUCCAGCCAUGCCGCGUGUGUGAAGAAGGUCUUCGGAUUGUAAAGCACUUUAAGUUGGGAGGAAGGGCAGUAAGUUAAUACCUUGCUGUUUUGACGGUACCAACAGAAUAAGCACCGGCUAACUUCGUG